This 483-nucleotide ribosomal RNA is filed under the name uncultured bacterium. Its description in RNAcentral is "partial 16S ribosomal RNA". It matches the Rfam family "Bacterial small subunit ribosomal RNA", at positions 30 to 506 of the family's 1533-position model. The record is from RNAcentral.
AUUGAACGCUAGCGGGAUGCUUUACACAUGCAAGUCGAACGGCAGCGCGGACUUCGGUCUGGCGGCGAGUGGCGAACGGGUGAGUAAUGUAUCGGAACGUGCCCAGUAGCGGGGGAUAACUACGCGAAAGCGUAGCUAAUACCGCAUACGCCCUACGGGGGAAAGCAGGGGAUCGUAAGACCUUGCACUAUUGGAGCGGCCGAUAUCGGAUUAGCUAGUUGGUGAGGUAACGGCUCACCAAGGCGACGAUCCGUAGCUGGUUUGAGAGGACGACCAGCCACACUGGGACUGAGACACGGCCCAGACUCCUACGGGAGGCAGCAGUGGGGAAUUUUGGACAAUGGGGGCAACCCUGAUCCAGCCAUCCCGCGUGUGCGAUGAAGGCCUUCGGGUUGUAAAGCACUUUUGGCAGGAAAGAAACGUCGCGGGCUAAUACCCCGUGGAACUGACGGUACCUGCAGAAUAAACACCGGCUAACUACGU